This is a long non-coding RNA of Rosa chinensis, 711 nucleotides long. RefSeq lists it as uncharacterized. The record is from RefSeq and is a predicted model, not a curated record. The transcript has 2 exons. NCBI's taxonomy places the organism in Eukaryota, Viridiplantae, Streptophyta, Magnoliopsida, Rosales, Rosaceae.
GAGGUGGCUCUAAGUACCAUUUAAAAUGAAAUCGAAAAGUUCAGGUACUGGUUGUGAUCAAAAUUGAAGUUCAGGUAUCAUCGAUAAGAUUGAGGUAUAGUUCAGGUACCAUUUGUGAUAAUAACCAUUUUUGCUAAAUGUUUACAGAACAAAUCCUUGAUUUUUCUGAAUAAAAUAUUUAUUCACAAGAUUUCUGCACUCAAAAUAAUUAGCAGAAAAUUUAGGAUUUCUGCCAUAUUUUCCUAGUCUCAACUAGAAAAUUAAUGAAGUGAGAAACCCUAACGUUUUAACAUAAAAAGACGGCCUCCUUUGUAUUCUGAACACAAACAACUUGGCUGCUAGCUCACUUCGUUGCCCUUUUGUUUUUGGUGUUGUAGAAGAUCGUCAAGCAAUUAAAGGAAUCUGCUGCUGCUGCUUUAGUAGGGAACAAAAAAGAGCCGAGCUGUUGGAAGGGGUUUAUUGAUCUUCCUUUAUUAAUUAAUCAUGACUUUACCCACUCAUCCAUGAUUCCAUGAUUCUAUGUUCCACCGUUCUGCACGUGUAGCCCAUAGACACCUUUUUUUUUUGGGAUAACAAUCAAAAGUAUGAUUCCUCCAUCCUUGAUAAAUUGUUUGUGCCUUGACCGUAAAUUACGUUCCACCCUCUGACAUGAGCACGUGUAAUUCAAAGAUUUUUUUAUUUUUUAAUCACGUUCUGUCAUGUUCUACAUAA